GAUGAAGAACGUAGCGAAAUGCGAUACUUGGUGUGAAUUGCAGAAUCCCGUGAACCAUCGAGUCUUUGAACGCAAGUUGCGCCCGAAGCCAUCAGGUUGAGGGCACGUCUGCCUGGGCGUCACAUAUCGUUGCCCAAUGCCUAUUGCAGUGCAAUAGGAAUUUCUAGGGCGAAUGAUGGCUUCCCGUGAGCGUUGUUGCCUCGCGGUUGGUUGAAAAUCGAGUCCUUGGUAGGGUGUGCCAUGGUAGAUGGUGGUCGAGUUAGAACGAUACCGAUCAUGUGCAUGCUCCCCAAAAUAUGGCCUCUAUGACCCACACGCGUCUUUUGACGCUCAUGACGAGACCUCAGGUCAGGCGGGGCUACCCGCUGAAUUUAAGCAUAUCAAUAAGCGGAUGA
Molecule: unclassified non-coding RNA, 395 nt
Filed under: soil metagenome
Description: partial contains 5.8S ribosomal RNA, internal transcribed spacer 2, and large subunit ribosomal RNA
Rfam family: 5.8S ribosomal RNA (bases 1-122)
Source: RNAcentral